GACGAACGCUGGCGGCGUGCUUAACACAUGCAAGUCGAACGGAAAGGCCUGCUUUCCCUUGUGUAUUGCGGGUACUCGAGUGGCGAACGGGUGAGUAACACGUGAGUGAUCUGCCCCCAACUUGGGUAUAAGCCUGGGAAACUGGGUCUAAUUCCCGAUAGGACUGCAGGGUGGUGCCUGUGGUGGAAAACGAUUUUCUAGUGGUUGGGGAUGAGCUCGCGGCCUAUCAGCUUGUUGGUGGGGUAAUGGCCUACCAAGGCGGCGACGGGUAGCCGGCCUGAGAGGGUGGACGGCCACAUUGGGACUGGGAUACGGCCCAGACGCCUACGGGAGGCAGGAGUGGGGAAUAUUGCACAAUGGGCGGAAGCCUGAUGCAGCGACGCAGCGUGGGGGAUGACGGCCUUCGGGUUGUAAACUCCUUUCGACCGCGAGGAAGCCACCUGGUUGGAAGGGUGGUGACGGUAGUGGUAGAAGAAGCACCGGCUAACUACGUG
RNAcentral lists this ribosomal RNA (494 nucleotides) under uncultured bacterium. Its description in RNAcentral is "partial 16S ribosomal RNA". It matches the Rfam family "Bacterial small subunit ribosomal RNA", at positions 28 to 507 of the family's 1533-position model. The record is from RNAcentral.